Molecule: ribosomal RNA, 469 nt
Filed under: uncultured Acidovorax sp.
Lineage: Bacteria; Pseudomonadati; Pseudomonadota; Betaproteobacteria; Burkholderiales; Comamonadaceae
Description: bacterial SSU rRNA
Rfam family: Bacterial small subunit ribosomal RNA
Source: RNAcentral
UUGACGGGACCGCACAAGCGGUGGAUGAUGUGGUUUAAUUCGAUGCAACGACGAAAACCUUACCACCUUUGACAUGUACGGAAUCCUUUAGAGAUAGAGGAGUGCUCGAAAGAGAACCGUAACACAGGUGCUGCAUGGCUGUCGUCAGCUCGUGUCGUGAGAUGUUGGGUUAAGUCCCGCAACGAGCGCAACCCUUGUCAUUAGUUGCUACAUUCAGUUGGGCACUCUAAUGAGACUGCCGGUGACAAACCGGAGGAAGGUGGGGAUGACGUCAAGUCCUCAUGGCCCUUAUAGGUGGGGCUACACACGUCAUACAAUGGAUGGUACAAAGGGUCGCCAACCCGCGAGGGGGAGCCAAUCCCAUAAAGCCAUUCGUAGUCCGGAUCGCAGUCUGCAACUCGACUGCGUGAAGUCGGAAUCGCUAGUAAUCGUGGAUCAGAAUGUCACGGUGAAUACGUUCCCGGGUCUU